Astatotilapia calliptera (eastern happy) is the source of this 545-nucleotide long non-coding RNA. The record is from Ensembl. Lineage: Eukaryota; Metazoa; Chordata; Actinopteri; Cichliformes; Cichlidae.
CCGGUGUUUAUAAUUUUUUUCUUAAUACUUUGGACAGACAAGAUAUUACAGAGAACCUGCAACUACUAUAUAUUUGUAUGUUCAGAAAAGCUAGCUUUUUUCCGAGCUCGGUGUCUACAAAAGCUAGCUUCUUUGCGAGCUAGGUGUCUAAAAAAGCUAGCUUUUUUGCGAGCUUGUUGUCUAAAAAAGCCUGAUAAACCUGAUGUGGAGCAUCAACCACUUGAUGAGCAGCAAGAUCAACAAAAGAAUUCAAACUGCAGGGGAGCAUUAUGUGGUGUUUUCUGGAGUCGCAUUAUCAAGGCACUUUGUAUUGGUGUGCUGUGGGCUAUUUCUGUGCUCAUCGAUGGAGACUGGUAUGUUUGCUGUCAGAAUGAUCAUUCUGAAAAGCAAUCACAGUUAGCCUGCAAAGAUAAAACCAACAUGACACCUGAAGAAAAUGUGGACAUCAAUACCCUGAAAAACAAAUCAAGAGAGGAACGCGGAGAGGAAGGGCAGCACGCACAGGGUGUGCAGAAACACUACAGCGGGGAGCACGAACACGGACG